This 382-nucleotide ribosomal RNA is filed under the name uncultured eukaryote. RNAcentral's name for it is "SSU rRNA". It matches the Rfam family "Eukaryotic small subunit ribosomal RNA", at positions 587 to 972 of the family's 1831-position model. The record is from RNAcentral.
AGCUCUCAAAAUGCAUAGAAUUAUUGCUGCGGUUAAAAAGCUCGUAGUUGGAUCUGUGCUGGGACGGUGGUCCACCUUCGGGUGCGCACUACUCGCUCUCGGCUUUUUGUGUCGGUUCUGUCUCGUCGUAGCCUUCACUGGUUGCGGCGGGUGGCUGACGAUUUUACUUUGAACAAAUCAGAGUGCUUAACACAGGCGUUUCGCUUGAAUGUUCUUGCAUGGAAUAAUAGAAAAGGAUUUCGGUUCUGUUUUAUUGGUUUUACGGACUGAGAUAAUGGUUAACAGAGACAGACGGGGGCAUUCGUAUUGCUGCGUGAGAGGUGAAAUUCUUGGACCGCAGCAGGACGAACUACAGCGAAAGCAUUUGCCAAGAAUGUCUUCA